CCUACGGGAGGCAGCAGUGAGGAAUAUUGGUCAAUGGACGAGAGUCUGAACCAGCCAAGUAGCGUGAAGGAUGACUGCCCUAUGGGUUGUAAACUUCUUUUAUAUGGGAAUAAAAUGUUCCACGUGUGGGAUUUUGUAUGUACCAUAUGAAUAAGGAUCGGCUAACUCCGUGCCAGCCGCCGCGGUAAUACGGAGGAUCCGAGCGUUAUCCGGAUUUAUUGGGUUUAAAGGGAGCGUAGGUGGAUUGUUAAGUCAGUUGUGAAAGUUUGCGGCUCAACCGUAAAAUUGCAGUUGAAACUGGCAGUCUUGAGUACAGUAGAGGUGGGCGGAAUUCGUGGUGUAGCGGUGAAAUGCUUAGAUAUCACGAAGAACUCCGAUUGCGAAGGCAGGUGUCCGGGGUGCAACUGACGCUGAGGCUCGAAAGUGCGGGUAUCAAACAGGAUUAGAUACCCGAGUAGUC
RNAcentral lists this ribosomal RNA (460 nucleotides) under uncultured bacterium. RNAcentral's name for it is "partial 16S ribosomal RNA". It matches the Rfam family "Bacterial small subunit ribosomal RNA", at positions 338 to 795 of the family's 1533-position model. The record is from RNAcentral.